Molecule: non-coding RNA, 68 nt
Organism: Ornithorhynchus anatinus (platypus)
Lineage: Eukaryota; Metazoa; Chordata; Mammalia; Monotremata; Ornithorhynchidae
Source: RefSeq, marked provisional
UGGUGAGAACAAGAAACGCGGCGGUGGAAUUCUCCUCUUCCGCUGCUCGGCUUGUCUGCUUGGCCCUG